UAAAAAGCUCGUAGUUGAAAUUUGGAACUUUAUUGUAUUGGUUUGUCUUUUGAUGAACUGUAUGAUGGGUUUUCUUCCUACUAGAGUUCGAUUCUGUUCUUAAUUGAAUGGAGUAGCUAUUUUUUGGGGUGGUCAAUUGGUUGUUAUAUCUCCACUAAUAAGCAGAGAGGGGUUAAACCUUUGAAGUAAGUUAUGUGGGUCAAGGUAUGGUGAUUAAUUGGAGUUCUAGUUCAUUUACUUUGAGAAAAUUAGAGUGUUUAAAGCAGCCUCUUGGGGCACUGAAUACAUUAGCAUGGGAUAAUAAAAUAGGAUCUUCACAAUAUAUUUUAUUGGUUUAAAUUGGAUAUGAAGAUAAUGAUUAAUAGGGACAGUUGGGGUAUUCAUAUUGGGUGGUUAGCGGUGAAAUGCUCGGAUCCAUUCAAGAUGAACUAAAGCGAAAGCAUUUACCAAGGAUGUUUUCAUUAAUCAAGAACAAAAAGUUAAGGGAUCGAAGACGAUUAGAUACCGUCGUAGUCUUAACUAUAAACUAUGCCGA
This 535-nucleotide ribosomal RNA is filed under the name uncultured eukaryote. RNAcentral describes it as "bacterial SSU rRNA". It matches the Rfam family "Eukaryotic small subunit ribosomal RNA", at positions 620 to 1045 of the family's 1831-position model. The record is from RNAcentral.